This 605-nucleotide long non-coding RNA is filed under the name Cyanistes caeruleus (blue tit). RNAcentral describes it as "lncRNA (ENSCCEG00000002693.1)". Lineage: Eukaryota; Metazoa; Chordata; Aves; Passeriformes; Paridae. The record is from RNAcentral.
GGAGAGAGAGAAACAAGAGCUGUGAAAAUGAGAAAACUUGCCGAGGAGUGUAGCAUCAUCAAUCAGCUGCUAAUCUGCCAACAGUUCAUCUCGAGGCUCAGAUUAGUGUCCUUUCACUAAUGCCAAACAGGAAAAGAAACAGUCUGAAGCAUCAAGAAAGGAGGAACAACAGAAACCCUGAAACUAAUCUGGUUUAGUCCUCAUGAAGAUCUAACCUGAAACAAAGUACCAGAAACAGCUUGCUCAGAAAGUAUCCAGAGAUGGAAGUGCCUGGAGUGGAGGAGCUCUGGCUGGCAGGGAAGGAGGAAGCCUCAAAAGCAGAAUGAAUUAGACACCACCACCACUAUCUGGCCACAGCCCUUUGCUCCUGUAGUUACUUCAUUGUAUCCUGGAUUGCACAUAAGACAAUAAGAGAACAAGCUCUCUGAACGGUCCAAACCACUCUUUCUUUGGUUGGCUUCACUCAACACUGCAGUAGAUUUUAGGGUUUGAAAGUAGAUUAGGGUUUGAAAGAGAGAGAGAAAGGAACGUUCUUCCAAUUAUGUCGGCUUUGACCAUUGAGUUUUGUAUGUGAAUGUCACAAACAUUUCACAACAGGUCAUAUG